RNAcentral lists this transfer RNA (69 nucleotides) under Paradoxophyla palmata (web-foot frog). RNAcentral describes it as "tRNA-Gly". Lineage: Eukaryota; Metazoa; Chordata; Amphibia; Anura; Microhylidae. The record is from RNAcentral.
AUUUUCUUAGUAUAACUAAUACAAAUGGCUUCCAACCAUUUACUCUUGGUUUAACCCCAGGAGAAAAUA